GACGAACGCUGGCGGCGUGCUUAACACAUGCAAGUCGAACGGAAAGGCCCUGCUUUUGUGGGGUGCUCGAGUGGCGAACGGGUGAGUAACACGUGAGUAACCUGCCCUUGACUUUGGGAUAACUUCAGGAAACUGGGGCUAAUACCGGAUAGGAGCUCCUGCUGCAUGGUGGGGGUUGGAAAGUUUCGGCGGUUGGGGAUGGACUCGCGGCUUAUCAGCUUGUUGGUGGGGUAGUGGCUUACCAAGGCUUUGACGGGUAGCCGGCCUGAGAGGGUGACCGGCCACAUUGGGACUGAGAUACGGCCCAGACUCCUAAGGGAGGCAGCAGUGGGGAAUAUUGCACAAUGGGCGGAAGCCUGAUGCAGCAACGCCGCGUGCGGGAUGACGGCCUUCGGGUUGUAAACCGCUUUCGCCUGUGACGAAGCGUGAGUGACGGUAAUGGGUAAAGAAGCAACGGCUAACUACGUG
Molecule: ribosomal RNA, 468 nt
Filed under: uncultured bacterium
Lineage: Bacteria
Description: partial 16S ribosomal RNA
Rfam family: Bacterial small subunit ribosomal RNA
Source: RNAcentral